ACCCUCUGUUACACUUCCGCCUCACGGAGCAGUUUGGAACCCAAAUGGACCAGUACCUGCUGAUCCCGGUGAGAGGCUGCGGGGCAAACGAAGCGGAUCCGCCGUCCUCAUGAUGCUUAAAUUAUUGAAAGGAAAAAUGCUGCACUUCAAAGAACUGUGUUCGUCACUCCCACUCACGCUGUGGGCGCCGCUGGAUUCUCUGUAGACAUCCGGUGAAACGAUGAUAAACUCACAAUGUUUGUCCAACAACAGCAAGUCAUCAAACUGGGUCACAGAGAGACAGAAGUACCGCUGAAAGCAUCCGUCAUUCAGUCGCAGCUCCUGCAGUAGAUGAUGAACCUCACCGUACUGAGAGUCUGAAUGAUCUCAUAAACCCGGACAUGGAGACGUGACUAUUGACACUUUUGUAGAGCUCUUUAAAAUAAAUAAACCUGAUCUCUCAACAUCAUCCGUGUCUUCCAUGCAUCGUAAAUGAGAUAUACAGUCUAUGCUUCCUCGUAGCGAUGAAACUGACAGUAGCUUCUCCCACAAGCGGCAGGAACAUCUACAUUAUGAACACAUUUUUGGACAAGCGUCCAAAAGCAACAGGGACAGAGGACGCAAAAUCCCCACAUGAAUGUGAAGGUUUCCACUAACAAGUCUGAGUGUGUUGGAGUGACUCACGUGAACAGGGCUC
This is a long non-coding RNA of Oryzias melastigma (Indian medaka), 676 nucleotides long. RefSeq lists it as uncharacterized. NCBI's taxonomy places the organism in Eukaryota, Metazoa, Chordata, Actinopteri, Beloniformes, Adrianichthyidae. The transcript is spliced from 4 exons. The record is from RefSeq and is a predicted model, not a curated record.